Molecule: ribosomal RNA, 824 nt
Filed under: Enterococcus sp. F08_62
Lineage: Bacteria; Bacillati; Bacillota; Bacilli; Lactobacillales; Enterococcaceae
Description: bacterial SSU rRNA
Rfam family: Bacterial small subunit ribosomal RNA
Source: RNAcentral
CGGAAAAAGAGGAGUGGCGAACGGGUGAGUAACACGUGGGUAACCUGCCCAUCAGAAGGGGAUAACACUUGGAAACAGGUGCUAAUACCGUAUAACAAUCAAAACCGCAUGGUUUUGAUUUGAAAGGCGCUUUCGGGUGUCGCUGAUGGAUGGACCCGCGGUGCAUUAGCUAGUUGGUGAGGUAACGGCUCACCAAGGCCACGAUGCAUAGCCGACCUGAGAGGGUGAUCGGCCACAUUGGGACUGAGACACGGCCCAAACUCCUACGGGAGGCAGCAGUAGGGAAUCUUCGGCAAUGGACGAAAGUCUGACCGAGCAACGCCGCGUGAGUGAAGAAGGUUUUCGGAUCGUAAAACUCUGUUGUUAGAGAAGAACAAGGAUGAGAGUAACUGUUCAUCCCUUGACGGUAUCUAACCAGAAAGCCACGGCUAACUACGUGCCAGCAGCCGCGGUAAUACGUAGGUGGCAAGCGUUGUCCGGAUUUAUUGGGCGUAAAGCGAGCGCAGGCGGUUUCUUAAGUCUGAUGUGAAAGCCCCCGGCUCAACCGGGGAGGGUCAUUGGAAACUGGGAGACUUGAGUGCAGAAGAGGAGAGUGGAAUUCCAUGUGUAGCGGUGAAAUGCGUAGAUAUAUGGAGGAACACCAGUGGCGAAGGCGGCUCUCUGGUCUGUAACUGACGCUGAGGCUCGAAAGCGUGGGGAGCAAACAGGAUUAGAUACCCUGGUAGUCCACGCCGUAAACGAUGAGUGCUAAGUGUUGGAGGGUUUCCGCCCUUCAGUGCUGCAGCUAACGCAUUAAGCACUCCGCCUGGGGAGUACGACCGCAA